Molecule: long non-coding RNA, 1073 nt
Organism: Hydractinia symbiolongicarpus
Lineage: Eukaryota; Metazoa; Cnidaria; Hydrozoa; Anthoathecata; Hydractiniidae
Exons: 2
Source: RefSeq, a predicted model, not a curated record
CAGGAGUCUAUGAAAGUAAAGUUCCACACGUAUUAUAAAACUAUAUUCUUCCAAAAUUUUUUACCACAAAUAUAAAACUUGGAAUUUAAUAGAUAUUUAUCAUCCAUACAUAUGAAGAAGAAAAUACGGACCUGCUAACUUUAUCAUCUGCAUGUUACUUUGGGCUAUGCCAGAAUAUGCUUUUUCGGUUUCAUCUUGGAAGAUCUGCAGAAACUUCCUUUUUAUAGGAACAACAUCGUCCAAGGUAGGUUCAGAUGAUACUUUAGAUCUGAGAAACGUUGCUCUUUCCAAAUUUUGUUGAUUUGUGUUUCGCAGAUAAGGUGUGCCAAUUAACAAUUCUGUUAGUUCCUUAGAUAAAAUAUCACUUGUCCCUACACACGACCAACUCUUCCAUUUCAGUGAAGAUUUUCCUGUUGUCAUUCCGGGAUUUUGCAAUAUUUGAAUAUAUAGUAAAUUGAUAAAAACACUAUGAAUUGAAAAGAGAGACAAUCAAUAAAAUCUUUAUGCAUAGCCUAGUAUAAAAAUACAUUAACACGCGAAAAAGUAAUUUUAAGAGCAAUAAAAAUAUCAAUAUAACCUUUAGCCCAAAAAAUAAGUUCUUCUUUCCAUUUUAAUAUAAUCUGUUCCUGAAACGCACACCCCUUUCCCAUCAUUUUAUCUUCCACCUGUGUUUUCGAUAAAGCCAACAACUUUUUUGUCUAACACAAUAAAUAAAACUGGAUUAAUUUAAUAGCCAUUAAUAACUGUUCAAUUAUUUUUCCAUCUUUAUUUGCCUUAUUUACCAGUUUUUACAUGCUGGAUGUUGUGCUAGCAUUUAUUCUUUAUAACAUUAAUAUAAAGGGUAAUGACAACAGUAUAACAUUGCAAGGGCCUUUAAAUCCUACCUAAAGAAUUUCUUUUGUAAGGUGGAUGAUAAUUUGAUGACUUUCUGACGAUUCCAAGACAAUACCAUGCAGGUAAUUGUAUCAUUUCGAACUAUGGUGAGAGACUCUCGAAGAUUAACAUACCUUCACGCAACUGAUGCUUUGUUGAAUUUCCUAAACGAGACAAAUAACUGUUGACCUGCUCCACCU